RNAcentral lists this ribosomal RNA (397 nucleotides) under uncultured bacterium. RNAcentral's name for it is "partial 16S ribosomal RNA". It matches the Rfam family "Bacterial small subunit ribosomal RNA", at positions 523 to 918 of the family's 1533-position model. The record is from RNAcentral.
AUACGUAGGGGGCGAGCGUUGUCCGGAAUGAUUGGGCGUAAAGGGCGCGUAGGCGGCGCGGUAAGUCUGGAGUGAAAGUCCUGCUUUCAAGGUGGGAAUUGCUUUGGAUACUGCCGCGCUUGAGUGCAGGAGAGGUUAUCGGAAUUCCCGGUGUAGCGGUGAAAUGCGUAGAGAUCGGGAGGAACACCAGUGGCGAAGGCGGGUAACUGGACUGCUACUGACGCUGAGGCGCGAAAGCGUGGGGAGCGAACAGGAUUAGAUACCCUGGUAGUCCACGCUGUAAACGAUGAAUGCUAGGUGUAGGGGGUAUCGACCCCUCCUGUGCCGGAGUAAACGCAAUAAGCAUUCCGCCUGGGGAGUACGGCCGCAAGGUUGAAACUCAAAGGAAUUGACGGGG